UCGCCUGGUUCGCGCGCGGUUUGGCGCGGCCGAUCCAGCAGAUGCGCGACUUCGCGGUCGCGCUCGGCCGCGGCGAGUUCGGCACGCGCCUGGCGAUC
This 98-nucleotide transfer RNA is filed under the name Nannocystis exedens. Its description in RNAcentral is "tRNA-Ala". The record is from RNAcentral. Lineage: Bacteria; Pseudomonadati; Myxococcota; Nannocystales; Nannocystaceae.